Molecule: ribosomal RNA, 500 nt
Filed under: uncultured bacterium
Lineage: Bacteria
Description: partial 16S ribosomal RNA
Rfam family: Bacterial small subunit ribosomal RNA
Source: RNAcentral
AUUGAACGCUGGCGGCAUGCCUUACACAUGCAAGUCGAACGGCAGCACGGGAGCAGUCCUGGUGGCGAGUGGCGAACGGGUGAGUAAAGUAUCGGAACGUGCCCAGUCGUGGGGGAUAACGUAGCGAAAGUUACGCUAAUACCGCAUACGAUCUAUGGAUGAGAGCGGGGGAUCGCAAGACCUCGCGCGAUUGGAGCGGCCGAUAUCAGAUUAGGUAGUUGGUGGGGUAAAGGCUCACCAAGCCGACGAUCUGUAGCUGGUCUGAGAGGACGACCAGCCACACUGGGACUGAGACACGGCCCAGACUCCUACGGGAGGCAGCAGUGGGGAAUUUUGGACAAUGGGCGAAAGCCUGAUCCAGCCAUGCCGCGUGCAGGAUGAAGGCCUUCGGGUUGUAAACUGCUUUUGUACGGAACGAAAAGGUUUGGCCUAAUAAGCUGAGCUCAUGACGGUACCGUAAGAAUAAGCACCGGCUAACUACGUGCCAGCCGCCGCGGUAA